AAACUUUAAUAUAUUCUAAGUCAAAUUUUGGUAUUCUCAUAUAUCAAAUUUUAUAUACAUUAUGGUAGAAAUAUUCAAUAGAAGAAUUGAAUGGGGCAUUAAGCAAAAAAAUUUAAUAAAAACUACUAACAUUUAAGAAAUUUCAUUGGGUUCAAUUUACCGCACUGUUAGAGCUGUAGCUCUGCUCUUGUCAGCUGAGCCACAUGAGUUACUUGUUUCGUCUGUUCGUGAAUAUUAAGAAUUUUAGGGUCUUUACUUGUAGACUCGUUUACUUCACUUACCCAUACUCUCACUCAGCAUGCAAAAGAGGUUCUUUCAAUUUGGGUCCUAGAUUAGUUUGCUGGUACUGGAGAGAGCUUGUGUCUAAAGAUGUUUUUUAAUUUCUUUUAAUAUGCAGGGCAGAUGAACAUUUGGUUUAAGGCAAUUUAUAUUCCAUUAUUUUCAGAAUUCUGGUUUAUCUUCAUGAGAAGUCUUUCAUAUUAGCUGGUUGCUCAGUGCUAUCAAUAGCAUAAUUGUUAUAUCCACAAUGAGUGGACUGCUUAAAAUAAACCAUUGCAGUUGCCAAAUCCUAUCUGCAAACUUGUAUGAGACCACCAUGAGUACGUCCUCUGCAAAGUUUCUGUUUCUUUGCAAGUUCAGCAUUUUUAUCAAACAAAAAUUUUCACUUGUAAUGAUAAAAAGUGAAUCUUGUGGGCUGUUAGAUAGCAUAUAAGAUUGAAUUGGAUUGGGAUUUAGCGUUUGAUUAUUCAAAUUUCAAAACCAUGUCUUAGUAUCAAUGAUUUCUAUAUUGCCUAUAGUUUCUUUUUAUUUAUGGCAAUCUUGUGGGGAUGGAGUUUGUCUUUUUCUAUCUCACUUCGUUCAGUACUAUCAACUUUUUUGCUAGGUUAUCUGGAGAUGGUUCUCUCUUUAUACCAGGGUACAAUGUGAGGGCUGGUCUACGUGAAAGUGAGGAUUGCAGGAGGUCCUACUUUGCGAAGUUGACAUCUUUUGAUUGCUGACAUGGAGGACGAGAAUGGCCUUGAGCUUAGCCUUGGUCUAGGUUGCGGAGGGUCAUCUGCAAAAUCCAAAGGUAAAAAUGGCUGCUCUUCAGAUGCUAGGACAGAAGAAGGUGAUAGAGGCAACAAAUUGGUAGAUGAUUUCAAAAGCUUUCUUCAUGCUGGUACCCAGAAGCAGGAUUCAAGUACUGGACCUCAAAUAAGUGAUUCAGUGAAACCUCAAGAGAACUUCUAUAAUGACCUGUCCAAGGCCAAUGCUAAUGCAGAUGCUUCAAUAAACUUGAAUAAUAGGGGGCUUUGGGUUUUGAGCAGCAAAAUACCUGCUGAAAUUGAAGAAGAAAAAAGGCCAGAGGCAGGUAAAAAACGUAAACCAUUAUUUGAUGAGAUAAAUAAUCAUAGGAAGCAUGAGAGAGAUGCUCAUCAUUUUGAUGUACAUGACAAGAAAGCGUCACAUAUUUCCAUAACAACAGAAGAUGGCUCUACUGCUGAAAAUGAAGAUGUUGCUGAGUCUGACAUAGAGGGUUCAACUUCUAAAUUGGUCUCUCAUCAUGAUGAUGGCUCCAAGCGUUUUAUUGGAGCUGGUGGUCGUGAGGGUCCAAAGCAGGUUCAUGGGUUUUUUGAUUCUAGUGUUGUAGACUUAAAAGGGCAAAAGAGGCCUAAUGGUUCAUCAGAAAAUGAAAUUAAGCAUGGGAACUUGAAUUAUGGGGUUCCAUUCUCUGUUCGAUCUGUAAAUAUCGCGAAUAUGCCAUACUCGUUUCCUGUAAAAGAAUCUAACUCUAUCGGUGUUCCCAGCUCUUCGGGCCAUCCUCUGCCUGGAAUGAUGCAGGCAAUCCCUACUUCAAAUGGUGAGCAGAGAACAGGGGCUCAGUCUGUGAAUCCUGGAAAUUUGCCAGUAAUGUUUGGCUAUUCACCUGUUCAGCUUCCGACAUUGGAUAAGGAUAAUUCAUGGGGUUUGCUCUCUCAUCUUCAGCAGUUCCACCCUUCCUGUGCUGGCAGAGGUCCAUCAAACUCAGAUAAGCAAAAUGAUCGAUUGAAGAUUGCUCCUGGUAUUCUUCACUAGUUUAUACCUUAAAUUUCUUUUAAAGCAUGAAUAAUAAACGGUAAAAUGUCUGAUAGAUGUAAAUGUCAGUGAAAAUAUGCCUCCUUUUCACAAGUGAAUACACUCUUCCACAACUAUCUUUAUCACCUUGCAGAGUUUCCUUGAAGACUAGAGAACUCAGACAUGUCUAGGAAGAGUAUGCAUCUUAAUUUUAACUAGUCAAAAGUUUCAUCUUUACGGUAGAACAAUGUCUAUGAUACUUUAAACAUAGCAUUUUUUUUUUCCAAAAAAAACAUUGCAGUUAUUCUAAUAUACUUUUUUUUUUCCUUUUUGUAACUGGAAGCUGAUUCUAAUAGUUUUUUUUCUCAUGUUUAUGCUCUGAUAUGUUAUUACAGAUUUUGGACUAUAAUGUUGUUGCAGAUUCUGGAUAUUUUACUGAUACAUUGGAUUAUUUAUAUAUUUUUUUCCAUUUUGCAGUAUGAUCUUAUGAUUAUAGAUCAGCGGCUUAUGAUUCAAAAUCAAUUAUUUUCUUUAACUUAGCCUUUUGCAUCUUGCAGCCAUGCAAAUAAUUUCACGAAAUUCAUCUGAAGCUACACUGUGUGAUGGGAGGACAUUAGAACGGGUCAAAGGUGAUAGCAAACAGCACAUGACAGAAGAAGACUCCACUUCUCAGAAUGAAGAUGAUGUAAAAGGAGGCAGCAUGAACCUUAGGGCAAAAGAUGCAUCUGGGCCAUCAACAUCAGAAGGCUUAUCCUUUGAUUUUCCUGCCAUAAAGUCAGGUAUUGCAUCAGAUGUGAAAUUUGGGGGGGGUUGUGGUUCCUAUCCAGAUUUACCCUGGGUUUCCACCACAGGUUCUGGUCCAAAUGGCAGAACAAUUUCUGGUGUAACUUACAGAUACGGUGCAAACCAAUUUAGAAUUGUUUGCGCUUGCCAUGGUUCCCACUUGUCCCCUGAGGAAUUUAUCAGGCACGCAAGUGAAGAGAAUAUUAAUCCAGACAAUGGCAGUGGUUUAGCCUCAUUUCCAAGUACCAAUCCUGCUGCCUCUGCUCAGAGCUGAUAGUUAUCGUCUUUUCCAGCAGGAGCAAUAGAUAUCGCCAUAUGUUCAAGCAAAACCAGGUUUUGACCUUAUUUACCAUAAGACGCCUGAUAGUUUUUGCUGUUCUGUUUGCUUAUUUAUUUGCUUUUACCGACUUAGUUGCUGUAAUCAAAUGUUGCAGGAGUAUGUAAUAAUGUUUUAGCAUCCCUAAAUUUGUUUCGUAUAUAUUAAUGUCAAAGCAGUUCAAUCUAAAAUUCCAACAACCUCAUUUCUUUUUGUAUAAAUGUGAUCAUGCCUGCAUAGUUGAUGAUUUAUGUGGGUUCAUUCAAUGAUAGUUAUGGAGUACAUCAUGUCACGGCACUUGUGCUUUAUCACAAAGA
This 3450-nucleotide unclassified non-coding RNA is filed under the name Hevea brasiliensis (rubber tree). Lineage: Eukaryota; Viridiplantae; Streptophyta; Magnoliopsida; Malpighiales; Euphorbiaceae. The record is from RNAcentral.